RNAcentral lists this ribosomal RNA (253 nucleotides) under uncultured bacterium. Its description in RNAcentral is "partial 16S ribosomal RNA". It matches the Rfam family "Bacterial small subunit ribosomal RNA", at positions 524 to 776 of the family's 1533-position model. The record is from RNAcentral.
UACGAAGGUCCCAAGCGUUAUCCGGAUUUAUUGGGUUUAAAGGGUGCGUAGGCGGGUUAUUAAGUCAGUGGUGAAAGCUCCUAGCUCAACUGGGAAAUUGCCAUUGAUACUGAUGAUCUUGAGUAUGAUUGAGGUAGGCGGAAUGUGUCAUGUAGCGGUGAAAUGCUUAGAUAUGACACAGAACACCGAUUGCGAAGGCAGCUAACUAAGUCAUAACUGACGCUGAUGCACGAAAGCGUGGGGAGCAAACAGG